CAGUCGCCGCGGUAAUACGUAGGGUGCAAGCGUUAAUCGGAAUUACUGGGCGUAAAGCGUGCGCAGGCGGUUAUGUAAGACAGUUGUGAAAUCCCCGGGCUCAACCUGGGAACUGCAUCUGUGACUGCAUAGCUAGAGUACGGUAGAGGGGGGUAGAAUUCCAGGUGUAGCGGUGAAAUGCGUAGAUAUUGGGAAGAACACCGGUGGCGAAGGCGGCAACCUGGCUCAUUACUGACGCUGAGGCGCGAAAGCGUGGGGAGCAAACAGGAUUAGAUACCCCUGUAGUCCCUGUCUCUUAUAC
RNAcentral lists this ribosomal RNA (301 nucleotides) under uncultured bacterium. Its description in RNAcentral is "partial 16S ribosomal RNA". It matches the Rfam family "Bacterial small subunit ribosomal RNA", at positions 509 to 807 of the family's 1533-position model. The record is from RNAcentral.